Long non-coding RNA from Helianthus annuus (common sunflower), 1659 nucleotides. RefSeq lists it as uncharacterized. The record is from RefSeq and is a predicted model, not a curated record. Lineage: Eukaryota; Viridiplantae; Streptophyta; Magnoliopsida; Asterales; Asteraceae. The transcript has 12 exons.
UCAGGGGUAAAUUUGACAAAUCCUCCUCCUGCCUUUAUGAUCUAGUUGUUGAAACUCUCAAGUGUAAGAGCAACCGCUAGGAUAAUCAACCGUCGUCAUCGGUGAUUUAUUCUCAUUCGUUCCAGUCUCUACCCUUGAAUUGAAUCCACACACACAUGAGAGAGAGAAGGGAUCCAGAGGAGACGAUGACAAUGAUUUAACGGCGGUUGAGGAUCAAAUGGUGGCGACGAUGGUUUCAAGGCUGUGGUCGUUUUGGGUUUGUGUUUUAGAACAGGGGAAUUGAUUAUCUUUUUAUGUGUGUGUAAAUAUUCUAUAGUAUUUCUUUGCAGACCAUUGAAAUCAAGUACAAAUUAGUGAUCCAAACCACGACUACAGAUCGAAAAAUCAAGCCAAGACGGAAUCAGAGGGAACAGGAUAGAAGGAUGUGCUAGCAUUGGGUUAAAUUUAUUUAUGAUGGUGGGGCUAGAGGAAUUAAAAAAACUCAUACCGCUACUUGAUGCAGAGAAGGGGUUUUUUCGGGAUCGACAUCGGAUCCUUUUGAUUCUCACAUGCUAUAGAAGUCAUAUGCUCUCAGCCGUUAUCCCAAAAACGACACCUUAAACAGUUGUAUCGUGCGCUUUUCAGUUCGUACCUUGAGCAUGCCAAUGUAAACUCAAAUAUCUGGUGAUCAUGGACAGUUGCUUCUUGCAUAUUAGAGUACACCUCGAAGCGAAUGGGGUGUUCAUGUUUGGACUAAGUGACUGACAAUGCUUACAGUGAAACCAGCAUCUGGUUCUGUGCAAAAGAUCCAGAUUUUGACUCCUAAUAUUGGAGUUGUUUACAGUGGGAUAGGGCCAGAUUCGCGUGUUCUGGAAGAGCAGAAAGCAGGCAGAGCAGUACAAUCUACUACAAAGUACCCCUCACCCUUAUUGUUUUCAAAUGGUCGAAACGGUUCGCGUCAAAACGAUUCGACUCGAUUCGAAACGGUACGGUUCGAAAUGGUAUGGGUCAAAACGGUUCAAGAAGGUGGCCAAGCAUUAGCAGCACACUCAUCCGAAGCUGUUGGGAUGAAAGGUGAUGAAAGGUGUCACUAAAGUAAUGUCAGCAAUGAAUAAGGUUGGUGGAAAACAUUAUGUUGAAGCUUGUCUAUCAAGAUCCGAGGCCAUCAGUUACUAUUCGUCUUCUCGUUGGCAUAUCUCUGGUCACCUACCAUUGGAGUGUUUAUAUGCUUAAAAUGCUGUAGUGUACACAGAAGUCUAGGUCCAAAUGUUUCAAAGCAACAAUUGAUGAAUGGGCUGAAGAAGAAAUGAACGCCAUGGUUGAAGUUAGAGGAAAUAGUUCUGCAAAUUCAAUUUACGAGGCCCAUGUUCCUAAAGGAGUUAAACCUGGCCCAGACGCUAGCCUUGAGCACCGUACUAAGUUUAUCAGGUCCAAGUAUGAGUUUCAAGAGUUCUUAAAUACUGGUUUGAAGAUAUCAAAUGGUGCACCUGCUCGUGUAUGUUCAUGAUUUGUACUAAUAUUAUAUUUUGAGUUAUGAAAAUGUUAAUCAGCUUGUCUUCCAAUCCUAGGAACUUUUAGCUUUUUUUUUUUUUUUUUUUUACUUUUGGUCUCGAUAAAUUAUAAGGCUAAACGAACAAGAAUAGUGUGUUUAAUACAUUUGUAACCUUUUUUAGGGUUGAA